CCAUCUUCAUGACAUUAUGAUGAAAUGCAUGUAGCCCUAAGAUUCUAUUAAGAUCAUCUACCCAAACUUUGUGAUUUCAAUCAAUUCAGUUACAAGCUGUAUAAUUCUAAAUACUUAUGGCCAUCCUCUGAUGGCCUACCUGUCUGCUCCCUUCAGUACCGCCCAGAAAUGUUGGAAUUACUUUGAUGACAAGGUAGCUGGCAUUAUUAUCAAUUCAGAUUUAGUUGAGAUACGUGCAAUUGAAAACAAAUCAUUUCUUGAUAGCAGUAGUGCGGAGAGUCUGCUUUCUCACACAGGAGAAUGAGAGCAGCAGCACUGAGUCAGAUGGAGUUCCACUGAGCUCACAGUUGUCUUUGUGGGUGGCAGCUGCUACAGAAUAGGAGCUGCAAUAUCCAGCUGUGGAGAGCCAUGUGGCUAGCCCAAGCCGUGCUCUUUGGAAACCAGACUGCAUUUCCCCAGGGCUGUGCCUGAAGAUGCCUGAGGAUUGUGAUGGUGUGUGGACAUGUGAUGGAGCCUUGGUGGGAGCUGAGUCUUGGAUGAGCCUGAUAUCCAGUUGCCACAUCUGGCUGUGUCUUGUAGUCUGGGGAAGUGCCCUACCGCAAGGACUUGACCCGCAGAGGAUGGUGAGACAGAUGAAGCUAGAUAAUCUUUUUUAUGUCCGUGAGGGUCAGUCUUUCAACACCAAGAACUAAAACAAAUAAACAGAAGCGGGACACACUGUAAUUAAUGGCU
RNAcentral lists this long non-coding RNA (732 nucleotides) under Coturnix japonica (Japanese quail). RNAcentral's name for it is "lncRNA (ENSCJPG00005019709.1)". The record is from RNAcentral. Lineage: Eukaryota; Metazoa; Chordata; Aves; Galliformes; Phasianidae.